RNAcentral lists this long non-coding RNA (226 nucleotides) under Ananas comosus (pineapple). Its description in RNAcentral is "long non-coding RNA (ACOM_LNC003282)". The record is from RNAcentral. Lineage: Eukaryota; Viridiplantae; Streptophyta; Magnoliopsida; Poales; Bromeliaceae.
UUGCAUCCUUUCACGAAGAAUCAACAUCCAUUCACUAAAACAAUAAACAAAAUAUAUUAUUUUAAAAUUUUCCUUACAAUUCCCCACCAAAUUUUAAAAUACAUAAAAAUACAUCAAAAAGCAAAAUAAAACAAAAUCAAAAAUCAAAAUCAAAAUUCUUGACAACUUGACAAAACCGUAUGCAUAGGUGUAGGUGUAUUAAAACUUGAACCUACACUUAGUGAAA